GACGAACGCUGGCGGCGUGCUUAACACAUGCAAGUCGAACGGAAAGGCCCUGCUUUUGUGGGGUGCUCGAGUGGCGAACGGGUGAGUAACACGUGAGUAACCUGCCCUUGACUUUGGGAUAACUUCAGGAAACUGGGGCUAAUACCGGAUAGGAGCUCCUGCUGCAUGGUGGGGGUUGGAAAGUUUCGGCGGUUGGGGAUGGACUCGCGGCUUAUCAGCUUGUUGGUGGGGUAGUGGCUUACCAAGGCUUUGACGGGUAGCCGGCCUGAGAGGGUGACCGGCCACCUUGGGCCUGAGAUACGGCCCAGACUCCUACGGGAGGCAGCAGUGGGGAAUCUUGCACAAUGGGCGGAAGCCUGAUGCGGCAACGCCGCGUGCGGGAUGACGGCCUUCGGGUUGUAAACCGCUUUCGCCUGUGACGAAGCGUGAGUGACGGUAAUGGGUAAAGAAGCACCGGCUAACUACGUG
Molecule: ribosomal RNA, 468 nt
Filed under: uncultured bacterium
Lineage: Bacteria
Description: partial 16S ribosomal RNA
Rfam family: Bacterial small subunit ribosomal RNA
Source: RNAcentral